UACGUAGGGUGCGAGCGUUGUCCGGAAUUAUUGGGGCGUAAAGAGCUCGUAGGCGGCCUGUUACGUCUGCUGUGAAAUCCCGGGGCUUAACCCCGGGCGUGCAGUGGAUACGGGCAGGCUGGAGGCAGGCAGGGGAGAACGGAAUUCCCGGUGUAGCGGUGAAAUGCGUAGAUAUCUGGAGGAACACCGGUGGCGAAGGCGGCAUCCUGGACCGGUAUUGACGCUGAGGCGCGAAAGCUAGGGGAGCAAACGGGG
RNAcentral lists this ribosomal RNA (255 nucleotides) under uncultured bacterium. RNAcentral describes it as "partial 16S ribosomal RNA". It matches the Rfam family "Bacterial small subunit ribosomal RNA", at positions 524 to 777 of the family's 1533-position model. The record is from RNAcentral.